RNAcentral lists this ribosomal RNA (497 nucleotides) under uncultured bacterium. RNAcentral describes it as "partial 16S ribosomal RNA". It matches the Rfam family "Bacterial small subunit ribosomal RNA", at positions 28 to 507 of the family's 1533-position model. The record is from RNAcentral.
GAUGAACGCUGGCGGCGUGCCUAAUACAUGCAAGUCGAGCGAACAGACGAGGAGCUUGCUCCUCUGACGUUAGCGGCGGACGGGUGAGUAACACGUGGAUAACCUACCUAUAAGACUGGGAUAACUUCGGGAAACCGGAGCUAAUACCGGAUAAUAUAUUGAACCGCAUGGUUCAAUAGUGAAAGACGGUUUUGCUGUCACUUAUAGAUGGAUCCGCGCCGCAUUAGCUAGUUGGUAAGGUAACGGCUUACCAAGGCAACGAUGCGUAGCCGACCUGAGAGGGUGAUCGGCCACACUGGAACUGAGGCACGGUCCAGACUCCUACGGGAGGCAGCAGUAGGGAAUCUUCCGCAAUGGGCGAAAGCCUGACGGAGCAACGCCGCGUGAGUGAUGAAGGUCUUCGGAUCGUAAAACUCUGUUAUUAGGGAAGAACAAAUGUGUAAGUAACUAUGCACGUCUUGACGGUACCUAAUGAGAAAGCCACGGCUAACUACGUG